This 208-nucleotide ribosomal RNA is filed under the name uncultured Chroococcidiopsis sp. Its description in RNAcentral is "partial 16S ribosomal RNA". It matches the Rfam family "Bacterial small subunit ribosomal RNA", at positions 481 to 686 of the family's 1533-position model. Lineage: Bacteria; Bacillati; Cyanobacteriota; Cyanophyceae; Chroococcidiopsidales; Chroococcidiopsidaceae. The record is from RNAcentral.
GAGGAAUCAGCAUCGGCUAACUCCGUGCCAGCAGCCGCGGUAAUACGGAGGAUGCAAGCGUUAUCCGGAAUUAUUGGGCGUAAAGCGUCCGCAGGUGGUGUUUCAAGUCUGCUGUCAAAGACCGAAGCUCAACUUCGUGAUAGGCGGUGGAAACUGAGACACCUAGAGUACGGUAGGGGUAGAGGGAAUUCCCAGUGUAGCGGUGAAA